AGAGCUGGGAUUUGACCGUGGCUGUCUGGUUGAGCCUGAGUUCUUAGCCUUCUCAGAAUGAGGCAAAAUGAAAGUGGUUGGUGAUGGCCAUGAGGCAGGUUUCAGUUCUCUGCCUCUGUUGAAGUCAGAAUGAAUUUGUGUUCUUUCAUCUGCUCCAUGAAUGCCUAGUGAGAACCACAGGGUUAGCAGGUCCAUUAAUUAAUUUCAUUAAGAACCAUCAUUUUGGAGGGGAAAAGAUACUACAGCCUCCUGUCCUCCAUAGUAAUUGCUAAAAUUUAUCGAAUCCUUCCUGUAUGCAUUCUUGCCCUAAGAGAAGGAACUUGCCAAGGCCGCACGGUUCGUAAGAGGUGCAGUCAGUAUUCACGGCGGGCAGUAUGGGUGAGAGCCCCAGUGCUCCUCGCACCGGUCCUCGUGUCACUCCCGAGCCCCCGUGGAGCUCCGCUAGCGCUGUGGGUCUGGGUCCCCUCUGCCAGCAGCAGUGCCUCCCCCUGUGCUGCUGCUGCGUCUCCUCAGUUUGCUGGUCUCCUCACGGGCCACAGUUUGAAUGGUCAGCCUCGUGCAAGGCUUCACCAUGCAGCAGGAUCCUUAGUAGCAUGCCGUGUAGCCUCUUUCCUUAGGCGUGCUUUGAACUUUUGUUCAAAUCCAGCUGUGCGUGUUGUAAAAUGCAUAGAUCUUAAUGGCACAGGUUGACGAAUGUUUAAUAGCUUCCACUCAUCCAACCACCCCCUGAGUGUGGAAAAUCAGUUUUUCCAUUCUUAUAGGAAGUGCCCUCCUGCCCCCUUGCAGUUGGUGUUGCCCCAGAGGUAGGCACCGUUCUGACUGCUGUCAUCCAGACUCAGGCUUCUCACUCAUGCAGGUGCAGCAUCCUUGCCAAGACAGAAGAGUGCUUCUGUCACUCUGCCCAGUGGGAGUCGCUUCUGGAAUGAGUGUGACUGCGAGGCAGGGAUGUGCUAUUUCCUCACUUGGUCUUUGUCCCUGUGGCUUGGUAUUGUGUCAAGAGUGUCUGUCUCAUAUUUAUAGGUCUUAAUUGUCACACCAUGUGGCCUCUAAGUCCAAGCCAGCUAUUACAAGUGGUCUUUAACCUCAGAUCCUACCUCUAGUGCUGAAGGAAAAUCUGCUUGUGGUGGACAGUAUGAGAGAUGGUUCGUCAGUCUACUGCGAGACCUUUGUGGGAUUUGCAAGGGGAAUUUUGAGUCUUCAAUUUCCAUACUAUGUGCUGACUUUAAAAGUUAAAUUUUAAAAUACAGAAUUUUUAAAAAAUUCAUUUUAGAGACAGAAUGAGACAGAAAGAUGGGAAACUCUCAACUGGUAGUUUAGUCCAUAAAUACCUGCAUUGGCCCGGACUGGGUGAGCCUGCAGCUGGGGGCUGGGCAUCAGUCCCAGCUGGCAGGAACGUAGCUGCUGAAUCAGCAGCAGCUGUUCUGCAGCUUGUGCGUUAGUAGGAGGCUGGAGUCAGACACCGGAGCCAGGUAUUGAACCCAGUGCUUUGAUGUGGUGCGUGGCUAUCUUAACCACUGUUUUAACCAUUAGGUAAAAAAGUCUGCCCCCCUGGGUUGUUUUCAUAUGGAUAUUACUCAAGCCCGGGUAAGUAGUUAGAGCUGAUGACAUGGAAUACUUCUAGUGAAGUGGUGGAACUAAGCUGAUUUUCGUAUGUCUUCUCUUGUUGGAGUGUAGACUUGGCUAAAAUGUACACUUGUCUAGUGGAACUCAAGGGAAAUAUGUGUAAACAAAU
Long non-coding RNA from Ochotona curzoniae (black-lipped pika), 1732 nucleotides. RefSeq lists it as uncharacterized. Lineage: Eukaryota; Metazoa; Chordata; Mammalia; Lagomorpha; Ochotonidae. The transcript has 2 exons. The record is from RefSeq and is a predicted model, not a curated record.